This 464-nucleotide ribosomal RNA is filed under the name uncultured bacterium. RNAcentral's name for it is "partial 16S ribosomal RNA". It matches the Rfam family "Bacterial small subunit ribosomal RNA", at positions 29 to 507 of the family's 1533-position model. The record is from RNAcentral.
ACGCACGCUGGCGGCGUGCUUCACCCCUGCCAGUCGCACGGUAAGGCCCCUUCGGGGGUACCCGAGUGGCGAACGGGUGAGUAACACGUGAGCAACCUGCCCUUGACUCUGGAAUAACAGUUGGAAACAGCUGCUAAUACUGGAUAUUCAUCGUCUCCUUCCUGGGGGGUGGUGGAAAGCUCCGGCGGUCAGGGAUGGGCUCGCGGCCUAUCAGCUUGUUGGUGAGGUAAUGGCUCACCAAGGCUUCGACGGGUAGCCGGCCUGAGAGGGCGACCGGCCACACUGGGACUGAGAUACGGCCCAGACUCCUACGGGAGGCAGCAGUGGGGAAUAUUGCACAAUGGGCGCAAGCCUGAUGCAGCAACGCCGCGUGCGGGAUGACGGCCUUCGGGUUGUAAACCGCUUUCAGUAGGGACGAAGGGUGACUGACGGUACCUACAGAAGAAGGACCGGCUAACUACGUG